This 301-nucleotide ribosomal RNA is filed under the name uncultured bacterium. RNAcentral's name for it is "partial 16S ribosomal RNA". It matches the Rfam family "Bacterial small subunit ribosomal RNA", at positions 509 to 807 of the family's 1533-position model. The record is from RNAcentral.
CAGCCGCCGCGGUAAUACGUAGGUGGCAAGCGUUAUCCGGAAUUAUUGGGCGUAAAGCGCGCGUAGGCGGUUUUUUAAGUCUGAUGUGAAAGCCCACGGCUCAACCGUGGAGGGUCAUUGGAAACUGGAAAACUUGAGUGCAGAAGAGGAAAGUGGAAUUCCAUGUGUAGCGGUGAAAUGCGCAGAGAUAUGGAGGAACACCAGUGGCGAAGGCGACUUUCUGGUCUGUAACUGACGCUGAUGUGCGAAAGCGUGGGGAUCAAACAGGAUUAGAUACCCCUGUAGUCCCUGUCUCUUAUAC